RNAcentral lists this ribosomal RNA (255 nucleotides) under uncultured bacterium. RNAcentral's name for it is "partial 16S ribosomal RNA". It matches the Rfam family "Bacterial small subunit ribosomal RNA", at positions 524 to 776 of the family's 1533-position model. The record is from RNAcentral.
UACAGAGGCUCCAAGCGUUAUCCGGAAUCACUGGGCGUAAAGGGUGUGUAGGCGGUCGUAUUAGUCUUUCGUGAAAGCUUUUGGGCUUAACCCAGAAAACGCGGGAGAAACGGUACGGCUACGAGGACGUAAGAGGUAAAGGGAACUCAUGGUGUAGGGGUGAAAUCCGUUGAUAUCAUGGGGAACACCAAAUGCGAAGGCACUUUACUGGUACGCUCCUGACGCUGAAACACGAAAGCGUGGGAAUCGAACGGG